GUGGGGAAUUUUGGACAAUGGGCGCAAGCCUGAUCCAGCAAUGCCGCGUGCAGGAAGAAGGCCUUCGGGUUGUAAACUGCUUUUGUACGGAACGAAAAGGCUCUGGUUAAUACCUGGGGCUCAUGACGGUACCGUAAGAAUAAGCACCGGCUAACUACGUGCCAGCAGCCGCGGUAAUACGUAGGGUGCAAGCGUUAAUCGGAAUUACUGGGCGUAAAGCGUGCGCAGGCGGUUUUGUAAGACAGAGGUGAAAUCCCCGGGCUCAACCUGGGAAUUGCCUUUGUGACUGCAAGGCUGGAGUGCGGCAGAGGGGGAUGGAAUUCCGCGUGUAGCAGUGAAAUGCGUAGAUAUGCGGAGGAACACCGAUGGCGAAGGCAAUCCCCUGGGCCUGCACUGACGCUCAUGCACGAAAGCGUGGGGAGCAAACAGGAUUAGAAACCCUGGUAGUCC
This 450-nucleotide ribosomal RNA is filed under the name uncultured bacterium. RNAcentral describes it as "partial 16S ribosomal RNA". It matches the Rfam family "Bacterial small subunit ribosomal RNA", at positions 354 to 796 of the family's 1533-position model. The record is from RNAcentral.